GAUGAACGCUGGCGGCGUGCUUAACACAUGCAAGUCGAACGAUGAUCCCUAGCUUGCUGGGGGGAUUAGUGGCGAACGGGUGAGUAACACGUGAGUAACCUGCCCUUGACUCUGGGAUAAGCCUGGGAAACUGGGUCUAAUACUGGAUAUGACCGACUAUCGCAUGGUGGUUGGUGGAAAGCUUUUGUGGUUUUGGAUGGACUCGCGGCCUAUCAGCUUGUUGGUGGGGUAAUGGCCUACCAAGGCGACGACGGGUAGCCGGCCUGAGAGGGUGGACGGCCACACUGGGACUGAGACACGGCCCAGACUCCUACGGGAGGCAGCAGUGGGGAAUAUUGCACAAUGGGCGCAAGCCUGAUGCAGCGACGCCGCGUGAGGGAUGAAGGCCUUCGGGUUGUAAACCUCUUUCAGUAGGGAAGAAGCGAAAGUGACGGUACCUGCAGAAGAAGCGCCGGCUAACUACGUGCCAGCAGCCGCGGUAAUACGUAGGGCGCAAGCGUUAUCCGGAAUUAUUGGGCGUAAAGAGCUCGUAGGCGGUUUGUCGCGUCUGCCGUGAAAGUCCGGGGCUUAACUCCGGAUCUGCGGUGGGUACGGGCAGACUUGAGUGAUGUAGGGGAGACUGGAAUUCCUGGUGUAGCGGUGAAAUGCGCAGAUAUCAGGAGGAACACCGAUGGCGAAGGCAGGUCUCUGGGCAUUAACUGACGCUGAGGAGCGAAAGCAUGGGGAGCGAACAGGAUUAGAUACCCUGGUAGUCCAUGCCGUAAACGUUGGGCACUAGGUGUGGGGGACAUUCCACGUUUUCCGCGCCGUAGCUAACGCAUUAAGUGCCCCGCCUGGGGAGUACGGCCGCAAGGCUAAAACUCAAAGGAAUUGACGGGGGCCCGCACAAGCGGCGGAGCAUGCGGAUUAAUUCGAUGCAACGCGAAGAACCUUACCAAGGCUUGACAUGAACCGGAACGGCGCAGAGAUGUGUCGGCCACUUGUGGCCGGUUUACAGGUGGUGCAUGGUUGUCGUCAGCUCGUGUCGUGAGAUGUUGGGUUAAGUCCCGCAACGAGCGCAACCCUCGUUCCAUGUUGCCAGCGGGUUAUGCCGGGGACUCAUGGGAGACUGCCGGGGUCAACUCGGAGGAAGGUGGGGACGACGUCAA
Molecule: ribosomal RNA, 1148 nt
Filed under: Arthrobacter sp. BB72a
Lineage: Bacteria; Bacillati; Actinomycetota; Actinomycetes; Micrococcales; Micrococcaceae
Description: bacterial SSU rRNA
Rfam family: Bacterial small subunit ribosomal RNA
Source: RNAcentral